Long non-coding RNA from Pantherophis guttatus, 630 nucleotides. RefSeq lists it as uncharacterized. The record is from RefSeq and is a predicted model, not a curated record. NCBI's taxonomy places the organism in Eukaryota, Metazoa, Chordata, Lepidosauria, Squamata, Colubridae.
AUGGUUUGUCCCUCCGCCUUAAAAGAGACCGCGUGGAGGCGGCUCGCUCUUUUCCGCGCUUCGCCGCUGACGUUAUCGAAGGUGUUGUCGGAGGGAGGUUUUCUGCCGUUGCCAUGUGGGAUCUGACUUCAAAAAGCCAUAGAAAGGAUCAAUGUAUAGAGUUGCGGGAGAAACAUCCAAAGGGAGCCAGAAGCUGUCCUCCAAGAUGAGCAAUUGUGAUUGAAAUGCCGACUCUUAACUGGAAAAGAUGUUUCUCAUCUACCCAAUCUUCAAAGAUGGAAGUCCCUGCAGAUUUCCUUGAAGAGGCUUGUUAGAUACACACUAUUUGCACUGCCAUGAACAUGGUUUAAAUCAGAUCAGAUUUGCAUUAAAGUUAAGAACUGAAAGAAGAUUUUAGAAGAAUACACUUCUAAGAUGCAUGGAGGUAGUAGGCUUGGACAAAUAUUACUACAAUUCAAUGCACUUAAGACUAUUAUUCCCAAAUUUGGCUAACAGCAAGAUGUAUAUCGAUCGAAGAAGAGAACUAUACUAAAUUAAUGUAGCAAAUAAAGACAGAUUUGGACAAAUGGAAAAAUCUACAAUUCGUUGAUCAGAACAACAGCCACAAUUAAAAUGAAUAUUCUAUUGAAA